This 357-nucleotide long non-coding RNA is filed under the name Mytilus galloprovincialis (Mediterranean mussel). The record is from RNAcentral. Lineage: Eukaryota; Metazoa; Mollusca; Bivalvia; Mytilida; Mytilidae.
GUUUGCUAAUUGUUUUACAUUGUCUUAUUGGGUCUUUUUAUAGCUGACUAUUCGGUAUCGGCUUUGCUCAUUGUAGAAGGCCGUACGGUGACCUAUAGUUGUGAAUGUUUGUGUCAUUUUGGUUGUAUUUGUGAAUAGUUGUCUCAUUUACAAUAAUACCACAUCUUCUUUUUUAUAGGUAAAUGUUUAUUGGUUUCAUGGAGUCUAUAGUAAAAGGAAGAUUAUUUUUUCAAACAUGAUGAUGUUUAUUAUGAUUUUCUUAUAAUUUUUUUUUUCUCUUAUAUCAUAACAAAAAGAUUUUAUAACUUGAGUCUGAAAAUUGAUAUCUAAAUAGUCAAUAUAGUGUUAAUAAUUCAG